RNAcentral lists this ribosomal RNA (447 nucleotides) under uncultured bacterium. RNAcentral's name for it is "bacterial SSU rRNA". It matches the Rfam family "Bacterial small subunit ribosomal RNA", at positions 355 to 825 of the family's 1533-position model. The record is from RNAcentral.
UGGGGAAUAUUGGACAAUGGGCGCAAGCCUGACCCAGCAACGCCGCGUGAAGGAUGAAGUCUCUCGGGAUGUAAACUUCGUAAGAAUAGGAAGAAUAAAUGACGGUACUAUUUGUAAGGUCCGGCUAACUACGUGCCAGCAGCCGCGGUAAUACGUAGGGACCAAGCGUUGUUCGGAUUUACUGGGCGUAAAGGGCGCGUAGGCGGCGUGGUAAGUCACUUGUGAAAUCUCCGAGCUUAACUCGGAACGGUCAAGUGAUACUGCUGUGCUAGAGUACAGAAGGGGCAAUCGGAAUUCUUGGUGUAGCGGUGAAAUGCGUAGAUAUCAAGAGGAACACCUGAGGUGAAGACGGGUUGCUGGGCUGAUACUGACGCUGAGGCGCGAAAGCUAGGGUAGCAAACGGGAUUAGAUACCCGAGUAGUCCCUGAGCGGGCUGGCAAGGCGCAU